RNAcentral lists this ribosomal RNA (253 nucleotides) under uncultured bacterium. Its description in RNAcentral is "partial 16S ribosomal RNA". It matches the Rfam family "Bacterial small subunit ribosomal RNA", at positions 524 to 776 of the family's 1533-position model. The record is from RNAcentral.
UACGUAGGGUCCGAGCGUUGUCCGGAUUUACUGGGCGUAAAGCGCGUGUAGGCGGCUGUCUAAGUUGGGUGUGAAAGCCCGGGGCUCAACCCCGGGACGCCGCCCAAGACUGGACGGCUUGAGGACGGAAGAGGGGCGUGGAAUUCCAGGUGUAGCGGUGAAAUGCGUAGAGAUCUGGAGGAACACCCGUGGCGAAGGCGGCGCCCUGGUCCGUUACUGACGCUGAGACGCGAAAGCGCGGGGAGCGAACGGG